Molecule: ribosomal RNA, 734 nt
Filed under: Ramaria suecica
Lineage: Eukaryota; Fungi; Basidiomycota; Agaricomycetes; Gomphales; Gomphaceae
Description: eukaryotic LSU rRNA
Rfam family: 5.8S ribosomal RNA (bases 301-455)
Source: RNAcentral
AUUAGAGGAAGUAAAAGUCGUAACAAGGUUUCCGUAGGUGAACCUGCGGAAGGAUCAUUACAGUAAUGUGAAUGAUAAGGGUUUUUGGCUGCUGGCUUGUUUUUUUCAAGCAUGUGCGCACCCUUUGAUUUUAUAGUCCCAUAUACACACCUGUGCACCCAAGGUUAAUGCUUCCCAUUCGGAGCCGUCUUGAGUUGAUCAAAGGGUUAUCACUCGAGGCUGAAGCGUUCCUUCUUUGACGUUUACACUACUGCCUGUCUAAUGCAUGUUUAAUACUCUAAGGAGUUAAAAAGUUAAUACAACUUUCAACAACGGAUCUCUUGGCUUUUGCAUCGAUGAAGAACGCCGCGAAAGUGCGAAACGUAAUGUGAAUUGCAGAAUUCAGUGAAUCAUCGAAUCUUUGAACGCACCUUGCACUCCUUGGUAUUCCGAGGAGUAUGCCUGUUUGAGUGUCGUGAACCUUCUCAAAUCCUUAUCAUUAAGUUGGUCAAGGGUUUGGACGUGGAUGUAUGCUAUGAUAUUCAGUUAUGAUAGCUCAUCUUAAAUACAUUAGCUGGUGAAUUCUCGCUCAGAGAGGAAUAACAGUGUGAUAAGAAACAUUUUGUAACUGUGUAACACUGUUGAUGCUCACUUGCGGAACACCGCUUCUAAUCGUCUGUCACUAGACACAUCACAUCAUGUCAUUUGACCUCAAAUCAGGUAGGACUACCCGCUGAACUUAAGCAUAUCAAUAA